UUCCGUAGGGUAACCUGCGGAGGGAUCAUUACCGAGUUUACAACUCCCAAACCCAAUGUGAACCAUACCAAACUGUUGCCUCGGCGGGGUCACGCCCCGGGUGCGUCGCAGCCCCGGAACCAGGCGCCCGCCGGAGGGACCAACCAAACUCUUUCUGUAGUCCCCUCGCGGACGUUAUUUCUUACAGCUCUGAGCAAAAAUUCAAAAUGAAUCAAAACUUUCAACAACGGAUCUCUUGGUUCUGGCAUCGAUGAAGAACGCAGCGAAAUGCGAUAAGUAAUGUGAAUUGCAGAAUUCAGUGAAUCAUCGAAUCUUUGAACGCACAUUGCGCCCGCCAGUAUUCUGGCGGGCAUGCCUGUCCGAGCGUCAUUUCAACCCUCGAACCCCUCCGGGGGUCCGGCGUUGGGGAUCGGGAACCCCUAAGACGGGAUCCCGGCCCCGAAAUACAGUGGCGGUCUCGCCGCAGCCUCUCAUGCGCAGUAGUUUGCACAACUCGCACCGGGAGCGCGGCGCGUCCACGUCCGUAAAACACCCAACUUCUGAAAUGUUGACCUCGGAUCAGGUAGGAAUACCCGCUGAACUUAAGCAUAUCAAUAGGCGGAGGAA
Molecule: ribosomal RNA, 606 nt
Filed under: Trichoderma paraviridescens
Lineage: Eukaryota; Fungi; Ascomycota; Sordariomycetes; Hypocreales; Hypocreaceae
Description: eukaryotic LSU rRNA
Rfam family: 5.8S ribosomal RNA (bases 216-369)
Source: RNAcentral